GUGCCAGCCGCCGCGGUAAUACGUAGGGGGCAAGCGUUGUCCGGAUUUAUUGGGCGUAAAGAGCGUGUAGGCGGCCAGAUAAGUGGGUUGUGAAAACUGGAGGCUUAACCUUCAGACGUCGACCCAAACUAUCUGGCUAGAGUCCGGAAGAGGAGAGUGGAAUUCCUGGUGUAGCGGUGAAAUGCGCAGAUAUCAGGAAGAACACCCGUGGCUAAGGCGGCUCUCUAGUACGGUACUGACGCUGAGACGCGAAAGCGUGGGGAGCGAACAGGAUUAGAUACCCCGGUAGUCC
Molecule: ribosomal RNA, 292 nt
Filed under: uncultured bacterium
Lineage: Bacteria
Description: partial 16S ribosomal RNA
Rfam family: Bacterial small subunit ribosomal RNA
Source: RNAcentral